Long non-coding RNA from Balaenoptera musculus (blue whale), 1049 nucleotides. RefSeq lists it as uncharacterized. The transcript has 4 exons. NCBI's taxonomy places the organism in Eukaryota, Metazoa, Chordata, Mammalia, Artiodactyla, Balaenopteridae. The record is from RefSeq and is a predicted model, not a curated record.
UGUCCCUCCCGGCCCCAUCCUGUGGCAGCCAGGUGGGCGGCGGCAUCUGUUGGCAGCUCUGGGUCAGGGGCGUCCACUGGCUCCCCCGGCAGGUCUUGGUGGGAGGGCGAGUCAGGCACUCUGUUCCCAGGAGGGGAUGGCGGAUCUUGGGCUUAAUGAUGGGCCUGCAGUACUGGCAAAGCGGGGAUCACUCUGCCUGCUGGGCAAUGUCCUAAGGAACCCAGCUGAGCUGCAGUUAUGGAGGUAGAUUUCCUGCUCUUUUCCACAUCUCAGGAUUAAUCCAGAAGCCUGAGCAGUGCGUGUGGUGAGGCUCAGCAAAGUGGCUGUGGGCAUCUCCAGCCUCCUUUGGAAGCCCCGCUUUUCCUCUGGAGUAGGUGCCCUGGAAUCUGGGCCAGCCGUACACAUUUCAGCAACUCGAUUACAAGAGACAGAAGAGGCCGGGUGUGUGGCACCAAGAAAACCGCACACACCCUGUACUUCUCUCUGCCUGUUGCUGGUUUGUGCAUUUCCCCACCACACCUCCCGAGAGCAGUUUGUUUCCCGGAAGCAGCAGAAGAGAGGUCGGGAGAAGGAGAUGCCUUAUUGUUGUGAAUGUGAUGGACGUGGUGGCGCCACAGGGGACUGGACACCAAGGCAAAGACUCCAGUGUCUGAUGAACUUACUGGUUGAACUUACCGCUUACUGGUCUUUGGCAGGUGCUGGAAAUCAAGCAGUAAACAGAACAGUCUCUCCUCUUCGGAUGUUAAUAGUCUAACAUGGGAAGAUGGAAAACUCAGCAAUGACAUCUGUGUCAGAAUCCUGUUUUGGUGGUGCAGCUCUUGGGAUCAGUGCUCUGAGCACCCAGCAGAAGAGGCUCUGAAUGCUUCGGGCUCAGUUAGUCAAGCACCGUGAGCUGCAACAGGGAACAUACAGACAGGAGGCUACAAUCCUGUUUUGGUGGUGCAGCUCUUGGGAUCAGUGCUCUGAGCACCCAGCAGAAGAGGCUCUGAAUGCUUCGGGCUCAGUUAGUCAAGCACCGUGAGCUGCAACAGGGAACAUACAGACAGGAG